GACCUGUUGUGAUGGCUCCUCUUCCAUAUCCAAUAGAGUUCCUCUGCUCAUGGUUGUGUAGAAAAAUCCAGAAAAGAGCCACCACACAGCACAGUGGUCUUCAUAGUGGCUAUGCUCCCUGGAGUGUGCAAGGACAUUCAUCAGAGCAGAGAAAAAAAUGCAAAUACGAUGGAGGGGGAGCUGGUUUUCUCAAGCCAGCCUUGAGAAAACACAGUGAUGGGUCAGGCAGAUGAAAUGGCUGUAACCAUUGGUAUCUAAAGCAUCCUCUAUGCACACUCUUUGAUGAGAGUGGAGACAAUGCCAGGAUUUUAUGAAGGUAUGUCAUAAUUACAUUCAACUAUACUCACAAUGACCAG
Long non-coding RNA from Orcinus orca (killer whale), 356 nucleotides. RefSeq lists it as uncharacterized. The record is from RefSeq and is a predicted model, not a curated record. The transcript has 3 exons. Lineage: Eukaryota; Metazoa; Chordata; Mammalia; Artiodactyla; Delphinidae.